Molecule: ribosomal RNA, 274 nt
Filed under: uncultured bacterium
Lineage: Bacteria
Description: partial 16S ribosomal RNA
Rfam family: Bacterial small subunit ribosomal RNA
Source: RNAcentral
CUACGGAGGGUGCGAGCGUUGUUCGGAAUUAUUGGGCGUAAAGAGCAUGUAGGCGGUCUGUUAAGUCUGGUGUGAAAGCCCGGGGCUCAACCCCGGAAGUGCAUUGGAUACUGGCAGACUUGAGUAUGGGAGAGGAAAGCGGAAUUCCGAGUGUAGGAGUGAAAUCCGUAGAUAUUCGGAGGAACACCAGUGGCGAAGGCGGCUUUCUGGACCAAUACUGACGCUGAGAUGCGAAAGCGUGGGGAGCGAACAGGAUUAGAAACCCCGGUAGUCC